CGCGGCCCGCGCAAGGAGACGCGCUGUGAAGCGGCACUUCCGGUCGGCCCGGAAGCUGGGAGACCUUGGUCGGGUGCUUGGUCUCCUCUCGAUCCCCGGUGGUGUUCUCACCACCGCGCGUGUUGCCAGGACAGAUGGUGCAGUGGAGGUGUAUCUGGAGAGGACCGUGCAGGGCAGUUACAGGUGAAUGAAACCAUUGUGAAUCAUCGUGGUGUAAGGAUUUAAUGAAGCCUCGGGCGAUUGGAAAGGAAGACUAGCUGUAAGCAAGGCAUCCUCCGUCCUUCCCUGACUCGUUCUCCGUCAGCGGCUGGAGAUGGAACCGAACUCCUUGCUCCUGUUGCAGGCUCGGAUGGAGGCAGAUGAGGGAUCAGCGACAUUCAAAGAUGUGGUCAUUGGCUUCUCCAAGGAAGAAUGGGGAUUACUGAACCCUGCUCAAAGAGAUUUGUACAUUACAGUGAUGUUGGAGAAUUAUCAGAAUUUGGUUUGGGUGGGGUCUUUCCCAGUGUGAAUUCUGUGAUGUUGAGGAAGAUCAGAACAGUGGUGGAAAGCCUUCCGAUAUUGCUUGCAUUCAUAAGGAGCCAUCAUAAUCACAAGGAUCCUUAAAGGUGAAAGAGCGAGGCCAAAGAAUCAGUGUCAGAAUGAUGCAAUGUGAGAAAGACUCAAGAAGCUAUUGCUGCCAUUGAGGAUGGAAAGGGGCCACACCAAGAAUACAGGCAGCCUCUAGAAGCCAAAAAAGUGGUUUCUUUCACAGAGCCUCCACAAGAGAACACAUCCCCAUCAACACCUUGAUUUGGCCCAGUGAGACCUAUUUCAAACUUUUGAUGUCCCAACAAUAAAUGUGUUGUUUUAA
Mirounga angustirostris (Northern elephant seal) is the source of this 850-nucleotide long non-coding RNA. RefSeq lists it as uncharacterized. Lineage: Eukaryota; Metazoa; Chordata; Mammalia; Carnivora; Phocidae. The transcript has 5 exons. The record is from RefSeq and is a predicted model, not a curated record.